UACGAAGGGGGCUAGCGUUGUUCGGAAUUACUGGGCGUAAAGCGCGCGUAGGCGGACAUUUAAGUCAGGGGUGAAAUCCCAGGGCUCAACCCUGGAACUGCCUUUGAUACUGGGUGUCUUGAGUGUGAUAGAGGUAUGUGGAACUCCGAGUGUAGAGGUGAAAUUCGUAGAUAUUCGGAAGAACACCAGUGGCGAAGGCGACAUACUGGAUCAUUACUGACGCUGAGGCUCGAAAGCGUGGGGAGCAAACAGG
RNAcentral lists this ribosomal RNA (253 nucleotides) under uncultured bacterium. RNAcentral's name for it is "partial 16S ribosomal RNA". It matches the Rfam family "Bacterial small subunit ribosomal RNA", at positions 524 to 776 of the family's 1533-position model. The record is from RNAcentral.